CUGCUCGAACAAACAAGGGCCAAGGGGGGAACCCUAGCUUCAUCCAAUUCACAAGAAAAACUAUAGAGAUUCAAAGAAAUUGAAAGCAUAAUCAGGAAAUUGCAAGCUCUUAACUUGUUCAUUGAAAGGGCGUGAAGGAGGAGGGCUCGAGUGCUAAGAAAUCGGAAGGAUCACAGGAUCGAGGUAAAUCCUCACUUUAGGCGAUUUGGAGAAUCGGAGCGAGCACGUGUCCAUGUCAUGUUAUACCAAACGCUUCCGCUAGCUUAUUCUCAUCUUUUUGGUCUAUGACUCGUUAUUUUGUCCAACUUUGUUAGUAGUCGUACAUUUGUAAAACUUGUCGUCUUUGCUUUUGGUAGUUUUAUGUCAAACAGAUCGUAGAAUGUUAUUUAGUGGAUUAGUUUAAAAACAGGGGGUAUGUUCGUUUUACGAACGGGUCAUGCCCAAUUUUUGUAAAAAAAUAAAUUAAUUAAUUAUGUAUCAAAGUU
This is a long non-coding RNA of Helianthus annuus (common sunflower), 485 nucleotides long. RefSeq lists it as uncharacterized. Lineage: Eukaryota; Viridiplantae; Streptophyta; Magnoliopsida; Asterales; Asteraceae. The transcript is spliced from 3 exons. The record is from RefSeq and is a predicted model, not a curated record.